GAUGAACGCUGGCGGCGUGCCUAAUACAUGCAAGUCGAGCGAACAGAUGAGGAGCUUGCUCCUCUGACGUUAGCGGCGGACGGGUGAGUAACACGUGGAUAACCUACCUAUAAGACUGGGAUAACUUCGGGAAACCGGAGCUAAUACCGGAUAAUAUAUUGAACCGCAUGGUUCAAUAGUGAAAGACGGUUUUGCUGUAACUUAUAGAUGGAUCCGCGCCGCAUUAGCUAGUUGGUAAGGUAACGGCUUACCAAGGCAACGAUGCGUAGCCGACCUGAGAGGGUGAUCGGCCACACUGGAACUGAGACACGGUCCAGACUCCUACGGGAGGCAGCAGUAGGGAAUCUUCCGCAGUAGGCGAAAACCUGACGGAGCAACGCCGCGUGAGUGAUGAAGGUCUUCGGAUCGUAAAACUCUGUUAUUAGGGAAGAACAAAUGUGUAAGUAACUAUGCACGUCUUGACGGUACCUAAUCAGAAAGCCACGGCUAACUACGUG
This 497-nucleotide ribosomal RNA is filed under the name uncultured bacterium. RNAcentral describes it as "partial 16S ribosomal RNA". It matches the Rfam family "Bacterial small subunit ribosomal RNA", at positions 28 to 507 of the family's 1533-position model. The record is from RNAcentral.